CUGGCAUGGGUCCACUGAGCAGCACUGGUGAAUUCUGGCUCUGGAGCUUGGGGUUUUUAAAAGCUGGCAUUUUGUGAGGACACUUGAUGGCAGCUAAACAGUUUGCCAACCCCUGCUCUAGAAGGUAAACUUCUGGAGGACAAAGCUAUUGUCUCUUUGCUUCCCGCUCUGUCCACGGAACUUAGUCUGAUUCCUGGUGCCAUGACCUCACCUUGUACCACCAGCUGUGGUGCACAGCCCCACCCAGCCCUGGUGCAACCCCCAGACGAUAGAUCCCGGAGGCCAGGUGGGUGCAGGAUGGAUGUCUGUAAUGACCAGGGCCCUGCAUC
RNAcentral lists this long non-coding RNA (329 nucleotides) under Equus caballus (horse). RNAcentral describes it as "lncRNA (ENSECAG00000060030.1)". The record is from RNAcentral. Lineage: Eukaryota; Metazoa; Chordata; Mammalia; Perissodactyla; Equidae.